UACGUAUCCCUCCGUUCGGAAUUACUUGUCUCGAAAAUGGAUAUAUCUAGAACUAAAAUACAUCUAGAUAUAUUCAUUUCUGCGACAAGUAAUUCCGAACGGCGGAAGUAGAUG
Molecule: non-coding RNA, 114 nt
Organism: Triticum aestivum (bread wheat)
Lineage: Eukaryota; Viridiplantae; Streptophyta; Magnoliopsida; Poales; Poaceae
Source: Rfam